UAUCUCUGUAGAGUCUGCAUAUCAAUAAGCGGAGGAAAAGAAACUAACUAGGAUUCCCUCAGUAACGGCGAGUGAAGCGGGAAGAGCUCAAAUUUGAAAUCUUCAAGGUUCUACCUUGACGAAUUGUAGUUUAAAGAAGUGUUUUCUGUUGGAGUUUUGGUAAAAGUUCUUUGGAAUAGGACAUCAUAGAGGGUGAGAAUCCCGUAUUUGACCAUUAUUUCCAACUUUGUGAUACACUUUCAAAGAGUCGGAUUGUUUGGGAAUGCAGUCCAAAAUGGGUGGUAAAUUUCAUCUAAAGCUAAAUAUUGGCGAGAGACCGAUAGCGAACAAGUACCGUGAGGGGAAGAUGAAAAGAACUUUGAAAAGAGAGUUAAACAGUACGUGAAAUUGUCAAAAGGGAAGCGUUUGACACCAGUGUUGUUUUCUCGAAAAUCAAUUAAAAAUGGCUUGAUUUUGUGUUGUAUUGACCUUAAAAGCUUUCUGCACUUUUUUCAUGUCUUUUUUAAUGCACUUUUCGUUUAACAAGUCAACAUCAGUUUCUUUUGUUGUAAAAAGGUCAUUGGAAGGUGGCUUUCUUUUCGGAGAAAGUGUUUAUAGCCUUUGACUCCUGCAAUCGGAGAGACUGAGGUCUGCAGCGUAGAUCCUUCUUGGAUUAGAUUCAUUUGUGCUAAGUUAUAGCUUUUUAUAGACAACUUGUUGACUAUAUUUAGUCUUGUAGCUUACUCGCUUAUGCAAUUUUACCUACGCUUAGGAUGUUGAACGCGCACAGAGUCUC
RNAcentral lists this ribosomal RNA (775 nucleotides) under uncultured Neocallimastigales. RNAcentral describes it as "partial large subunit ribosomal RNA". It matches the Rfam family "Eukaryotic large subunit ribosomal RNA", at positions 24 to 611 of the family's 3401-position model. The record is from RNAcentral. Lineage: Eukaryota; Fungi; Neocallimastigomycota; Neocallimastigomycetes; Neocallimastigales.